CAGAGCACUGCAUCCACUCACCCAAUUAGCCUGCACCUCAUGAACACCUAUUGUGAGGCCAGCACCAUGGGGAAACUGAAAGAACCAGAUAUUCUACCACCAUGGAGGAAUGACCUCACCCUGGGUAGUAACUCUUCCCUUCUGCUCAUCUACCCAAAGAUGGAAAAUAAAGGGCCUGUGCACAGCUCGGCGAACUGCUCCGUGGACCUCCCAGCGGGGCUGCUUUCUGAGGUGAUGGUCUCCUCGCUCCUUAGCCAGCCUGGUGGAGCCAGCUACUGACGUUGGAAAGGAGUUGGAGGAUGGAGCACCAGAUACUGCUACACCAUCUCAUCGGCAUGGACCUAUAUGUGGCAGCAAGUCCAUCUCAUCGCUUUUGGUGAAAGUCAGUCCAGUUUGUAAAGAUUCUCAUUGCCUUGGAAAGUGUUCCAGGAAUGGACUUUCUGCAGUAUGAUGACCUGCAAAAGCAGCCCUUCCAUUUACAUUUCAAACUCCAAGUCAGCCGUGUCAAAGUUUGAACCAGAACUGUGGAGGAUAAUGGGUCAGAUGCAAUUAGCAGCCCAGAGAACCACACGUUGCAGUCUGAUUUAUUUUUUUGCCCAUCAGAUUCCAAGAAUCCUAGUGCUUAAAAGCAACUAAACAAUCGCUCUAUUGUACUGAAAUAAAGCCCGGUUAAUUCAGAAAUCAAUUGCACCACCAGGUGGGGCACACUCUGGCCCCAAACAGAUGGGGUUGAAAACUCCCCUCAAAAUGCAGUCUUGUUAAAUUAAAAACUUGAUCCAGGAGUGGAACAAAUAGGGAGCCAUGAAUGGAAUGGAGUCAGGUCCACUCAGGCGGAUUCUUUCUUCUCCCACUCCUUUUCCUUUAAAAAAGAAAAAUUCCCCAUUUCACUUUCAUCAGUGUUAGCAUCUAUGCAGAAACGCAGCCAUCCACCCUUUGCAGUUGAAUGUGUUACUUUAAUUAGUCUGAAAAUUAAAGGGCAACUCCGGGCCAAUGUGAAUGAUUAUGAAAAUACAUGUGCAUCCCAUGCAAUCUUCUCAUUUAAUUAAUAGUCUUGUAAACUAUAUGGCUCACUUUAAGUCAGUCAAGAGGUAUAACAACUCCAUUUUAAAUAUCCACUUAAUACUUAACAGGAUGUGAGGAACACACUAUAGCAUACGGUCCCUUCUCAAGUUUCACUGUCUGAAAUUUUUCAAAGCUGACCCAAGUCAACCUGAAAAAUGUUUAACACCCUGGGCUUGAACACAAGAAACUCUGUGAUGAACAGACAUUCAAUUACAUUUUUUAAAAGUGAGAAGCAUUUUUGUAAAAUAGCGACUCUGGAAACUAAUUGGCAGCCGCAAAACUUGUGAGCAAAGGCCAAAUCUUGUGGGGAACUUUUACUACAGUAACACGACUCAAAGAAAAUGUGAAUAAAAGGCAUCUUUGUUUCCCAGUCAAAUUAGCUGA
Molecule: long non-coding RNA, 1446 nt
Filed under: Homo sapiens (human)
Lineage: Eukaryota; Metazoa; Chordata; Mammalia; Primates; Hominidae
Description: HSALNT0293552
Source: RNAcentral